This 491-nucleotide ribosomal RNA is filed under the name uncultured bacterium. RNAcentral's name for it is "partial 16S ribosomal RNA". It matches the Rfam family "Bacterial small subunit ribosomal RNA", at positions 29 to 507 of the family's 1533-position model. The record is from RNAcentral.
GUGAACGCUGGCGGUAGGCCUAACACAUGCACGUCGAACGGCAGCACAGUAAGAGCUUGCUCUUACGGGUGGCGAGUGGCGGACGGGUGAGGAAUACAUCGGAAUCUACUUUUUCGUGGGGGAUAACGUAGGGAAACUUACGCUAAUACCGCAUACGACCUACGGGUGAAAGCAGGGGAUCUUCGGACCUUGCGCGAUUGAAUGAGCCGAUGUCGGAUUAGCUAGUUGGCGGGGUAAAGGCCCACCAAGGCGACGAUCCGUAGCUGGUCUGAGAGGAUGAUCAGCCACACUGGAACUGAGACACGGUCCAGGCUUCUACGGGAGGCAGCAGUGGGGAAUAUUGGACAAUGGGCGCAAGCCUGAUCCAGCCAUACCGCGUGGGUGAAGAAGGCCUUCGGGUUGUAAAGCCCUUUUGUUGGGAAAGAAAAGCAGCAGGUUAAUACCCCGCUGUUCUGACGGUACCCAAAGAAUAAGCACCGGCUAACUUCGUG